Molecule: long non-coding RNA, 1455 nt
Organism: Ailuropoda melanoleuca (giant panda)
Lineage: Eukaryota; Metazoa; Chordata; Mammalia; Carnivora; Ursidae
Exons: 3
Source: RefSeq, a predicted model, not a curated record
GAAGGUGAGACCCAGAGAGGUUAAGUAACUCUCCUGACGCCGACAGCUGUUUUAAAUCCAGGCUCUCUGACACCAGGACAAACACCAUCUGAGCCGUGCUGUGGGCAGGAAGUAUGAGCCAGUCUGGGGAAGAGGAACCCUCUACAUCCAUGUCCACUUUGGUGCUUUGAGGAAGCAGGUCAGCCUUGGCCCAGCCCUGGAAUGAGGAUGGCUUGUCCCUGGUGUUCAGACCCCAUCUCCCUGCAUGCCAGCAUGUCAGCCUUGCAGCAGAAGCAUUAGGAGGAGAAACAGAGACCUGCUAAUAGUGGAUGGGACAGGCACCAGCGCAAGCUGGGUGUGAGCCUGACCACUGGCUACUGCUCUGCUCUCCCCUGCUGAUGCACACUGCCAAAACCGUCCACAGCUGAGGCGCCAGCCAGCCCCAAGACUGACUUGGGGAGCAAGGUCUGGGCUGAGACCAGAAACGCAUCUGGGAACCUAGGCACCCAAACCUCUGCAUCCCCCUUCUGCUGUCCUCUUUGUACACCUGCUUUUGGACAUCUGCACAGCUGGGAUUUCAGGGGCCAGGUGUGAGUGUGGGUGUGAAGGUGAGUGAUCCUGUUUAGUUUGCCACCCUCAGCCCAAUCGCCCUAUGUGCGAACUGGACAGCUGCACAUGCCUGACCCUAGGUGCACACUCACCAUCGGUGGCUCGUGUCUUGCUCUCAGGUGUGCUGCCCCCGUGUCUAAUGGAUGCAGGAGGCUGUUCCUGCCCAAGAGCCAAGGCCCGCGGAGGAGCCAUCAUGCUAAUCUGUGGUCGUGGCACAGUGUGGAAGGUUAUCAGGGCUCAGCGGGAGGCCAACUCUCUGGCAACAGCCCUGACACUGCUUUCAAAAGACGGUCCCCUCCACUCAGUUCUUCCCAUGUUUGCCUGCACCUGUUCACCGACCCUUAGGCCUCCUCACCCCUGACCUUUAAACUGAGGUUCGGGGAGGAAAGGCUAGUGAAGCUCAUCUCUAGAUCUGAGAAGGUACCAUGUAGCCUGUGGAGGGGGCCUCCCUUCCCUUCUGCAGGACCACCCCGACGCACCCCUGGCCUCUUUCAUCCUGAAUAGGCCGACAGUGGUGAAGGAGGGGCAAGAGGGCCACAACUCUGGCCUUCGGAAGUUGGGUCCAGCUGGCAAGGUACAGGCGCUAAACUAACCUAGGUCACCCAGCCUAACCUCCAUAUUGCUAUCUAGCUCCACCUCUCUCUGGAGGACCAAGGCGGCUUCCUGAAAAGACCAGGACUGGGUUCAAAGCUCCCUGCAGGACCCCUUCUCCUCCAAGGGCUACGCCCUGACUCUCAGGAGACCCCCUUCCAGGGCUUAGGCUAAUCAGUUCACCCUACCCCCACCCCUACCUGCUUCUCCCUCUUCAUGGGAAAUAGGCCUCUCUGUCCAUGGGAUCAGAGCCACUUUCCCACAGGGAUCAGUCAU